GACGAACGCUGGCGGCGUGCCUAAUACAUGCAAGUCGAGCGAACCAAUAAGAAGCUUGCUUUUUGUUGGUUAGCGGCGGACGGGUGAGUAACACGUGGGUAACCUGCCUGUAAGACCGGGAUAACUCCGGGAAACCGGGUGCUAAUACCGGAUAGAUUAUCUUUCCGCCUGGAGAGAUAAGGAAAGAUGGCUUUUGUCCAUCACUUACAGAUGGGCCCGCGGCGCAUUAGCUAGUUGGUGAGGAACGGCUCACCAAGGCGACGAUGCGUAGCCGACCUGAGAGGGUGAUCGGCCACACUGGGACUGAGACACGGCCCAGACUCCUACGGGAGGCAGCAGUAGGGAAUCUUCCGCAAUGGACGAAAGUCUGACGGAGCAACGCCGCGUGAGCGAAGAAGGUCUUCGGAUCGUAAAGCUCUGUUGUUAGGGAAGAACAAGUAUCGGAGGAAAUGCCGGUACCUUGACGGUACCUGACGAGAAAG
RNAcentral lists this ribosomal RNA (482 nucleotides) under uncultured bacterium. Its description in RNAcentral is "bacterial SSU rRNA". It matches the Rfam family "Bacterial small subunit ribosomal RNA", at positions 28 to 490 of the family's 1533-position model. The record is from RNAcentral.